Molecule: ribosomal RNA, 209 nt
Filed under: uncultured bacterium
Lineage: Bacteria
Description: partial 16S ribosomal RNA
Rfam family: Bacterial small subunit ribosomal RNA
Source: RNAcentral
AGCGUAGACGGACUGGCAAGUCUGAUGUGAAAGGCGGGGGCUCAACCCCUGGACUGCAUUGGAAACUGUUAGUCUUGAGUGCCGGAGAGGUAAGCGGAAUUCCUAGUGUAGCGGUGAAAUGCGUAGAUAUUAGGAGGAACACCAGUGGCGAAGGCGGCUUACUGGACGGUAACUGACGUUGAGGCUCGAAAGCGUGGGGAGGCAAAACA